AUUGAACGCUGGCGGCAGGCCUAACACAUGCAAGUCGAACGAGUGGCGGACGGGUGAGUAAUGUCUGGGAAACUGCCUGAUGGAGGGGGAUAACGACGGGAAACGGUAGAUAUUACCGCAUACAAUCAGAUGUGCCCAGAUGGGAUUCGCUUGUUGGUGGGGUAACGGCUCACCAAGUCGACGAUCCCUAGCUGGUCUGAGAGGAUGACCAGCCACACGUGUACUACGACACGGUCCAGACUCCUACGGGAGUCAGCAGUGGGGAAUAUUGCACAAUGGGCGCAAGCCUGAUGCAGCCAUGCGGCGUGUAUGAAGAAGGCCUUCGGGUUGUAAAGUACUUUCAGCGGGGAGGCGUUACCCGCAGAAGAAGCACCGGCUAACUCCGUGCCAGCAGCCGCGGUAAUUC
RNAcentral lists this ribosomal RNA (406 nucleotides) under uncultured bacterium. RNAcentral's name for it is "partial 16S ribosomal RNA". It matches the Rfam family "Bacterial small subunit ribosomal RNA", at positions 30 to 526 of the family's 1533-position model. The record is from RNAcentral.